This 468-nucleotide ribosomal RNA is filed under the name uncultured bacterium. RNAcentral describes it as "partial 16S ribosomal RNA". It matches the Rfam family "Bacterial small subunit ribosomal RNA", at positions 28 to 507 of the family's 1533-position model. The record is from RNAcentral.
GACGAACGCUGGCGGCGUGCUUAACACAUGCAAGUCGAACGGAAAGGCCCUGCUUUUGUGGGGUGCUCGAGUGGCGAACGGGUGAGUAACACGUGAGUAACCUGCCCUUGACUUUGGGAUAACUUCAGGAAACUGGGGCUAAUACCGGAUAGGAGCUCCUGCUGCAUGGUGGGGGUUGGAAAGUUUCGGCGGUUGGGGAUGGACUCGCGGCUUAUCAGCUUGUUGGUGGGGUAGUGGCUUACCAAGGCUUUGACGGGUAGCCGGCCUGAGAGGGUGACCGGCCACAUUGGGACUGAGAUACGGCCCAGACUCCUACGGGAGGCAGCAGUGGGGAAUAUUGCACAAUGGGCGGAAGCCUGAUGCAGCGACGCCGCGUGCGGGAUGACGGCCUUCGGGUUGUAAACCGCUUUCGCCUGUGACGAAGCCUGAGUGACGGUAAUGGGUAAAGAAGCACCGGCUAACUACGUG